This 404-nucleotide ribosomal RNA is filed under the name Actinomycetes bacterium. Its description in RNAcentral is "Actinobacteria bacterium partial 16S ribosomal RNA". It matches the Rfam family "Bacterial small subunit ribosomal RNA", at positions 355 to 776 of the family's 1533-position model. Lineage: Bacteria; Bacillati; Actinomycetota; Actinomycetes. The record is from RNAcentral.
AGGGGAAUCUUGGACAAUGUGCGCAAGCCUGAUCCAGCCAUGCCGCGUGAGUGAUGAAGGCCCUAGGGUUGUAAAGCUCUUUCACCGGUGAAGAUAAUGACGGUAACCGGAGAAGAAGCCCCGGCUAACUUCGUGCCAGCAGCCGCGGUAAUACGAAGGGGGCUAGCGUUGUUCGGAUUUACUGGGCGUAAAGCGCACGUAGGUGGACUUUUAAGUCAGGGGUGAAUUCCCGGGGCUCAACCCCGGAACUGCCUUUGAUACUGGAAGUCUUGAGUAUGGUAGAGGUGAGUGGAAUUCCGAGUGUAGAGGUGAAAUUCGUAGAUAUUCGGAGGAACACCAGUGGCGAAGGCGGCUCACUGGACCAUUACUGACGCUAAGGUGCGAAAGCGUGGAGAGCAAACAGG